This 846-nucleotide ribosomal RNA is filed under the name uncultured bacterium. Its description in RNAcentral is "bacterial SSU rRNA". It matches the Rfam family "Bacterial small subunit ribosomal RNA", at positions 35 to 886 of the family's 1533-position model. The record is from RNAcentral.
GCUGGCGGUGCGCCUUAUGCAUGCAAGUCGAGCGAAGCUUUUCAGUAGUUUACUACAGAAAAUGACUGAGCGGCGAACGGGUGAGUAACGCGUGAGCAACCUACCUUAGUUACUGGGAUAGCCCGAGGAAACUCGGAUUAAUACCGGAUAUUCUUAUUUGAUCACAUGAUUUUUUAAGGAAAGGUCAGCCGAACUAAGAUGGGCUCGCGUUCUAUCAGCUAGUUGGUAGGGUAAUGGCCUACCAAGGCUACGACGGAUAGCUGGUCUGAGAGGACGAUCAGCCACACUGGGACUGAGACACGGCCCAGACUCCUACGGGAGGCUGCAGCAGGGAAUAUUGCGCAAUGAGCGAAAGCUUGACGCAGCGACACCGCGUGUGGGAUGACGGAUCUAGGUUUGUAAACCACUUUCAGGAGGGAAGAAAAUGACGGUACCUCCACAAGAAGCCCCGGCCAACUACGUGCCAGCAGCCGCGGUAAUACGUAGGGGGCGAGCGUUGUCCGGAUUUAUUGGGCGUAAAGAGCUCGUAGGCGGUUCAACAAGUCGGUCGUGAAAGUUCAGGGCUCAACCCUGAAAUGUCGAUCGAUACUGUUGUGACUAGGAUACGGUAGAGGUGAGUGGAAUUCCGAGUGUAGCGGUGAAAUGCGUAGAUAUUCGGAGGAACACCAAUUGCGAAGGCAGCUCACUGGGCCGCUAUCGACGCUGAGGAGCGAAAGCUAGGGGAGCAAACAGGAUUAGAUACCCUGGUAGUCCUAGCUGUAAACGAUGGAUACUAGACGUAGGAAUUGGAUUAACGGUUUCUGUGUCGUAGCUAACGCGUUAAGUAUCCCGCCUGGGGAGUACGGU